This 48-nucleotide transfer RNA is filed under the name Impatiens balsamina (garden balsam). Its description in RNAcentral is "partial tRNA-Leu". The record is from RNAcentral. Lineage: Eukaryota; Viridiplantae; Streptophyta; Magnoliopsida; Ericales; Balsaminaceae.
AAUCCGUCGACUUUAUAAAUCAUGAGGGUUCAAGUCCCUCUAUCCCCA